CCCCUCUCAGGUUUGCACCUGGAGAGUUUCCAGUACUCUACCAGUCUUGGUUAUGGGAGGAAGAGUCAAGCGGAGGCAUAUCCAUUCCAUUCCUGGCUUGAGUAGUGGUUAGCCAGUGGAAGGCAAUCUGCUACAAGC
Tachyglossus aculeatus (Australian echidna) is the source of this 138-nucleotide small nucleolar RNA. The record is from RefSeq and is a predicted model, not a curated record. Lineage: Eukaryota; Metazoa; Chordata; Mammalia; Monotremata; Tachyglossidae.